UCCCUGUUGUAGUUAAGAAAAACAUGUAAGGUGGAACUGAUAGGAAUCUAACUAUUUUUAAGUAAUGAACCACUUGGCCAGGUACCUCUGCUGAAGUAGUUCAGAUAACAGUUAAACAAAUCCACCAAUCAAAUUUCUUAGUCCUUUAUAGAUGUUGGAUGUUGGAUGUUGGGGAAAGAAGGGUUAUUACACAUUUCAUUGCUCAUUGGUUAUUCUAUAAUGCAUGAUUUCUUCUCUGCCUAAUGCCUUGAACUAGAUUAUGAAAAACUUGUAACAAAUUGUCUUAAUUGGAUGACAUCAAUAUCAAUAUUACAUAUUCACACUGCAUCCUACCAAAAAAGUUGCGCUCUUAAGUUUCUUUUUUUUUUUGACUUGGAUUUGGCUUUUGAUGUCAACUAAACCAAUUCAAUUACAUAAAUGGGGAGCUAUGGAUUGAUGUGCUCAAGUCCACGCUAGAGUAUGGACUCGCACCCAAGUCGUGGACUGAUUACUUGUACCUUUCGGUGGGUGGUACUCUCUCGAAUGGUGGAAUUAGCGGCCAAGCUUUCAAUCAUGGCCCUCAGAUUAGCAAUGUGUAUGAGCUUGAUGUUGUCACAGGUAAGGGUGAGAUCUUGACAUGUUCAGAAGAACAAAACUCAGAACUAUUCCAUGUUGUUCUUGGUGGUCUAGGGCAAUUUGGGAUCAUUACUACAGCUAGGAUUGCUCUUGAACCAGCUCCACAAAGGACUUCAUGUUGGUUUUUCCGGGAAAAGCACUGCUGUUGUUUCUACUGGCUGUUCAUCUAGAAGGUUCUUGUCUUCCUUCUUUAGAGGAUGGGUCAUGGGCGUUAUAUCUCCGUUAGAGGAUGGCCAUUUCUACUUGGAAGACGUCACUGGA
Long non-coding RNA from Camellia sinensis, 876 nucleotides. RefSeq lists it as uncharacterized. The record is from RefSeq and is a predicted model, not a curated record. NCBI's taxonomy places the organism in Eukaryota, Viridiplantae, Streptophyta, Magnoliopsida, Ericales, Theaceae.